GGAGCAGGGAGCAGGUCGCCUGGCGCACGCCCCCCCCUGCCCGCCUGGUGGGCGGCUCCGCCUCUUUCUCUGGAGGAAAGCUCCAGAUGCGCUAAUCCCCAGCUGGGCCAGAUUUGCCGGCGGCUCCCCUCCUGCAGCCCAGAGCUCCCGCGGCUGCGGGUGGGGUGGUCUGGUCUCCACCUCCCCUCUCCCACCUGAGGGUCAAGGGCCAGCCAGGCCGCCCGCUUUGAGAUGGGCCCGUUCCCAGGGAACGCGGGCACCUCUGAGCCCCGUCUUCCUGUCCCCUGGGAAUGAUGAGAAGAGCUCAUGGGCUGCAGCAGCUCAGCCACCUCCCUGCCACUCAGCCGGUCCUACUGCAAGUCCGCCUCCUGAGCUCAGAACAGCCCUCCCCACUGCUGGCUCACUCAGGAGACCCCAGGAGCUGGGACUGGAAUCAAUCCUCAGCCCAGACAAAGGAACUGAGGCCCAGAGCCCCCAGGUUAGUAGAGGCAGAAUCAUUCUUUUAAAAUGACUGAAGCAGCCCAGAGAGGUGAAGUGGCUGGCCUAAGGUGGCACAGCACAGGAGAGGCAGGGUAAAUGACGCCUGAGGGGCAGAUCCAGGAGGAACGGCAGGCUUCAGAGGGUGGGCUCCGCCCCCCAGAGCAGCCCAGGCUUGUCAGAACGCAGACUCCUG
This 673-nucleotide long non-coding RNA is filed under the name Marmota monax (woodchuck). Lineage: Eukaryota; Metazoa; Chordata; Mammalia; Rodentia; Sciuridae. The record is from RNAcentral.